RNAcentral lists this ribosomal RNA (497 nucleotides) under uncultured bacterium. Its description in RNAcentral is "partial 16S ribosomal RNA". It matches the Rfam family "Bacterial small subunit ribosomal RNA", at positions 28 to 507 of the family's 1533-position model. The record is from RNAcentral.
GAUGAACGCUGGCGGCGUGCCUAAUACAUGCAAGUCGAGCGAACGGACGAGAAGCUUGCUUCUCUGAUGUUAGCGGCGGACGGGUGAGUAACAUGUGGAUAACCUACCUAUAAGACUGGGAUAACUUCGUGAAACCGGAGCUAAUACCGGAUAAUAUUUUGAACCGCAUGGUUCAAAAGUGAAAGACGGUUUUGCUGUCACUUAUAGAUGGAUCCGCGCUGCAUUAGCUAGUUGGUAAGGUAACGGCUUACCAAGGCAACGAUGCAUAGCCGACCUGAGAGGGUGAUCGGCCACACUGGAACUGAGACACGGUCCAGACUCCUACGGGAGGCAGCAGUAGGGAAUCUUCCGCAAUGGGCGAAAGCCUGACGGAGCAACGCCGCGUGAGUGAUGAAGGUCUUCGGAUCGUAAAACUCUGUUAUUAGGGAAGAACAUAUGUGUAAGUAACUGUGCACAUAUUGACGGUACCUAAUCAGAAAGCCACGGCUAACUACGUG